This 497-nucleotide ribosomal RNA is filed under the name uncultured bacterium. RNAcentral describes it as "partial 16S ribosomal RNA". It matches the Rfam family "Bacterial small subunit ribosomal RNA", at positions 28 to 507 of the family's 1533-position model. The record is from RNAcentral.
GAUGAACGCUGGCGGCGUGCCUAAUACAUGCAAGUCGAGCGAACAGAUGAGGAGCUUGCUCCUCUGACGUUAGCGGCGGACGGGUGAGUAACACGUGGAUAACCUACCUAUAAGACUGGGAUAACUUCGGGAAACCGGAGCUAAUACCGGAUAAUAUAUUGAACCGCAUGGUUCAAUAGUGAAAGACGGUUUUGCUGUCACUUAUAGAUGGAUCCGCGCCGCAUUAGCUAGUUGGUAAGGUAACGGCUUACCAAGGCAACGAUGCGUAGCCGACCUGAGAGGGGGGUAGCCCGCAUGAGAGGGGGAACGGCGCCAAGACCACUGAGGGAGGGCGCAGAAGGGUAUCUGCGGCAGUGGGGGAGAGCAUGACGGAGCAGGGCGGAGGGGGAGGUAGAGGUGUCGGGAGCGGAAUACUGGUUUUGGGGGGAAAAACAGAUUUGGAAGGAAACGGACCGUGUGUGACGGGACUGAGUAAAAAAGCACCGGCUAACUACGGG